RNAcentral lists this ribosomal RNA (301 nucleotides) under uncultured bacterium. RNAcentral describes it as "partial 16S ribosomal RNA". It matches the Rfam family "Bacterial small subunit ribosomal RNA", at positions 509 to 807 of the family's 1533-position model. The record is from RNAcentral.
CAGCCGCCGCGGGAAUACAGAGGGUGCGAGCGUUAAUCGGAUUUACUGGGCGUAAAGCGUGCGUAGGCGGCUUUUUAAGUCGGAUGUGAAAUCCCUGAGCUUAACUUAUGAAUUGCAUUCGAUACUGGGAAGCUAGAGUAUGGGAGAGGAUGGUAGAAUUCCAGGUGUAGCGGUGAAAUGCGUAGAGAUGUGGAGGAAUACCGAUGGCGAAGGCAGCCCCCUGGGCCAAUACUGACGCUCAUGCACGAAAGCGUGGGGAGCAAACAGGAUUAGAUACCCCAGUAGUCCCUGUCUCUUAUAC